GGGCGCCUCGCGGCCUAUCAGCUAGUUGGUGAGGUCACGGCUCACCAAGGCUACGACGGGUAGCUGGUCCGAGAGGAUGACCAGCCACAUUGGGACUGAGACACGGCCCAGACUCCUACGGGAGGCAGCAGUGGGGAAUCUUGCGCAAUGGGGGAAACCCUGACGCAGCGACGCCGCGUGUGGGAUGACGGCCUUCGGGUUGUAAACCACUGUCGGGAGGGACGAAGCUCUGACGGUACCUCCAAAGGAAGCACCGGCUAACUCUGUGCCAGCAGCCGCGGUAAUACAGAGGGUGCGAGCGUUGUCCGGAAUCACUGGGCGUAAAGGGCGCGUAGGCGGCCUGGUAAGUAGAGGGUGAAAUCCCGUGGCUCAACUGCGGGGCUGCCUUCUAGACUGCCGGGCUGGAGCACGGUAGAGGCUGGUGGAAUUCCCGGUGUAGCGGUGGAAUGCGUAGAGAUCGGGAAG
Molecule: ribosomal RNA, 465 nt
Filed under: uncultured Gemmatimonadota bacterium
Lineage: Bacteria; Pseudomonadati; Gemmatimonadota
Description: bacterial SSU rRNA
Rfam family: Bacterial small subunit ribosomal RNA
Source: RNAcentral